CCCUUAGAUGUUCUGGGCCGCACGCGUGCUACACUGAGUGGAUCAGCGGGUCAGGUUGCGCGAAAGUGUUUCCUAAUCUUUAAAUCCGCUCGUGAUGGGGAUUGACGGUUGCAAUUUUCUGUCAUGAACGAGGAAUACCUUGUAAGCGCGGGUCAUCAUCCCGCGCUGAAUACGUCCCUGCCCUUUGUACACACCGCCCGUCGCUCCUACCGAUUGAGUGGUCCGGUGAGACUUUGGGAUCUGAGCGGAAAGAGCGUUUCGCUGUUUCUGCUCGGAAAACUCAGUCGAACCUUAUCAUUUAGAGGAAGGAGAAGUCGUAACA
RNAcentral lists this ribosomal RNA (322 nucleotides) under uncultured eukaryote. RNAcentral describes it as "partial 18S ribosomal RNA". It matches the Rfam family "Eukaryotic small subunit ribosomal RNA", at positions 1470 to 1796 of the family's 1831-position model. The record is from RNAcentral.